Molecule: ribosomal RNA, 253 nt
Filed under: uncultured bacterium
Lineage: Bacteria
Description: partial 16S ribosomal RNA
Rfam family: Bacterial small subunit ribosomal RNA
Source: RNAcentral
CACGUAGGGCGCAAGCGUUGUCCGGAAUUAUUGGGCGUAAAGAGCUCGUAGGCGGUCUGUUGCGUCCGCUGUGAAAACUCGGGGCUUAACCCCGAGCCUGCAGUGGAUACGGGCAGACUAGAGGUAGGUAGGGGAGAAUGGAAUUCCCGGUGUAGCGGUGAAAUGCGUAGAUAUCUGGAGGAACACCGGUGGCGAAGGCGGCAUCCUGGACCAAUACUGACACUGAGGAGCGAAAGCCAGGGGAGCAAACGGG